RNAcentral lists this ribosomal RNA (2905 nucleotides) under Escherichia coli KO11FL. RNAcentral describes it as "bacterial LSU rRNA". It matches the Rfam family "Bacterial large subunit ribosomal RNA". Lineage: Bacteria; Pseudomonadati; Pseudomonadota; Gammaproteobacteria; Enterobacterales; Enterobacteriaceae. The record is from RNAcentral.
GGUUAAGCGACUAAGCGUACACGGUGGAUGCCCUGGCAGUCAGAGGCGAUGAAGGACGUGCUAAUCUGCGAUAAGCGUCGGUAAGGUGAUAUGAACCGUUAUAACCGGCGAUUUCCGAAUGGGGAAACCCAGUGUGAUUCGUCACACUAUCAUUAACUGAAUCCAUAGGUUAAUGAGGCGAACCGGGGGAACUGAAACAUCUAAGUACCCCGAGGAAAAGAAAUCAACCGAGAUUCCCCCAGUAGCGGCGAGCGAACGGGGAGCAGCCCAGAGCCUGAAUCAGUGUGUGUGUUAGUGGAAGCGUCUGGAAAGGCGCGCGAUACAGGGUGACAGCCCCGUACACAAAAAUGCACAUACUGUGAGCUCGAUGAGUAGGGCGGGACACGUGGUAUCCUGUCUGAAUAUGGGGGGACCAUCCUCCAAGGCUAAAUACUCCUGACUGACCGAUAGUGAACCAGUACCGUGAGGGAAAGGCGAAAAGAACCCCGGCGAGGGGAGUGAAAAAGAACCUGAAACCGUGUACGUACAAGCAGUGGGAGCACGCUUAGGCGUGUGACUGCGUACCUUUUGUAUAAUGGGUCAGCGACUUAUAUUCUGUAGCAAGGUUAACCGAAUAGGGGAGCCGAAGGGAAACCGAGUCUUAACUGGGCGUUAAGUUGCAGGGUAUAGACCCGAAACCCGGUGAUCUAGCCAUGGGCAGGUUGAAGGUUGGGUAACACUAACUGGAGGACCGAACCGACUAAUGUUGAAAAAUUAGCGGAUGACUUGUGGCUGGGGGUGAAAGGCCAAUCAAACCGGGAGAUAGCUGGUUCUCCCCGAAAGCUAUUUAGGUAGCGCCUCGUGAAUUCAUCUCCGGGGGUAGAGCACUGUUUCGGCAAGGGGGUCAUCCCGACUUACCAACCCGAUGCAAACUGCGAAUACCGGAGAAUGUUAUCACGGGAGACACACGGCGGGUGCUAACGUCCGUCGUGAAGAGGGAAACAACCCAGACCGCCAGCUAAGGUCCCAAAGUCAUGGUUAAGUGGGAAACGAUGUGGGAAGGCCCAGACAGCCAGGAUGUUGGCUUAGAAGCAGCCAUCAUUUAAAGAAAGCGUAAUAGCUCACUGGUCGAGUCGGCCUGCGCGGAAGAUGUAACGGGGCUAAACCAUGCACCGAAGCUGCGGCAGCGACACUGUGUGUUGUUGGGUAGGGGAGCGUUCUGUAAGCCUGCGAAGGUGUGCUGUGAGGCAUGCUGGAGGUAUCAGAAGUGCGAAUGCUGACAUAAGUAACGAUAAAGCGGGUGAAAAGCCCGCUCGCCGGAAGACCAAGGGUUCCUGUCCAACGUUAAUCGGGGCAGGGUGAGUCGACCCCUAAGGCGAGGCCGAAAGGCGUAGUCGAUGGGAAACAGGUUAAUAUUCCUGUACUUGGUGUUACUGCGAAGGGGGGACGGAGAAGGCUAUGUUGGCCGGGCGACGGUUGUCCCGGUUUAAGCGUGUAGGCUGGUUUUCCAGGCAAAUCCGGAAAAUCAAGGCUGAGGCGUGAUGACGAGGCACUACGGUGCUGAAGCAACAAAUGCCCUGCUUCCAGGAAAAGCCUCUAAGCAUCAGGUAACAUCAAAUCGUACCCCAAACCGACACAGGUGGUCAGGUAGAGAAUACCAAGGCGCUUGAGAGAACUCGGGUGAAGGAACUAGGCAAAAUGGUGCCGUAACUUCGGGAGAAGGCACGCUGAUAUGUAGGUGAAGUCCCUCGCGGAUGGAGCUGAAAUCAGUCGAAGAUACCAGCUGGCUGCAACUGUUUAUUAAAAACACAGCACUGUGCAAACACGAAAGUGGACGUAUACGGUGUGACGCCUGCCCGGUGCCGGAAGGUUAAUUGAUGGGGUCAGCGCAAGCGAAGCUCUUGAUCGAAGCCCCGGUAAACGGCGGCCGUAACUAUAACGGUCCUAAGGUAGCGAAAUUCCUUGUCGGGUAAGUUCCGACCUGCACGAAUGGCGUAAUGAUGGCCAGGCUGUCUCCACCCGAGACUCAGUGAAAUUGAACUCGCUGUGAAGAUGCAGUGUACCCGCGGCAAGACGGAAAGACCCCGUGAACCUUUACUAUAGCUUGACACUGAACAUUGAGCCUUGAUGUGUAGGAUAGGUGGGAGGCUUUGAAGUGUGGACGCCAGUCUGCAUGGAGCCGACCUUGAAAUACCACCCUUUAAUGUUUGAUGUUCUAACGUUGACCCGUAAUCCGGGUUGCGGACAGUGUCUGGUGGGUAGUUUGACUGGGGCGGUCUCCUCCUAAAGAGUAACGGAGGAGCACGAAGGUUGGCUAAUCCUGGUCGGACAUCAGGAGGUUAGUGCAAUGGCAUAAGCCAGCUUGACUGCGAGCGUGACGGCGCGAGCAGGUGCGAAAGCAGGUCAUAGUGAUCCGGUGGUUCUGAAUGGAAGGGCCAUCGCUCAACGGAUAAAAGGUACUCCGGGGAUAACAGGCUGAUACCGCCCAAGAGUUCAUAUCGACGGCGGUGUUUGGCACCUCGAUGUCGGCUCAUCACAUCCUGGGGCUGAAGUAGGUCCCAAGGGUAUGGCUGUUCGCCAUUUAAAGUGGUACGCGAGCUGGGUUUAGAACGUCGUGAGACAGUUCGGUCCCUAUCUGCCGUGGGCGCUGGAGAACUGAGGGGGGCUGCUCCUAGUACGAGAGGACCGGAGUGGACGCAUCACUGGUGUUCGGGUUGUCAUGCCAAUGGCACUGCCCGGUAGCUAAAUGCGGAAGAGAUAAGUGCUGAAAGCAUCUAAGCACGAAACUUGCCCCGAGAUGAGUUCUCCCUGACUCCUUGAGAGUCCUGAAGGAACGUUGAAGACGACGACGUUGAUAGGCCGGGUGUGUAAGCGCAGCGAUGCGUUGAGCUAACCGGUACUAAUGAACCGUGAGGCUUAACCUUAC